CCUGAGCCUUGUACACACCGCCCGUCAAGUCAUGGGAGUUGGGAGUACCCGAAGUCCGCUUAGCCAACCGUAAGGGGGCGGCGGCCGACGGUAAGCCCGAUGACUGGGACU
RNAcentral lists this ribosomal RNA (111 nucleotides) under uncultured bacterium. Its description in RNAcentral is "partial 16S ribosomal RNA". It matches the Rfam family "Bacterial small subunit ribosomal RNA", at positions 1373 to 1482 of the family's 1533-position model. The record is from RNAcentral.